This 464-nucleotide ribosomal RNA is filed under the name uncultured Klebsiella sp. RNAcentral describes it as "bacterial SSU rRNA". It matches the Rfam family "Bacterial small subunit ribosomal RNA", at positions 338 to 795 of the family's 1533-position model. Lineage: Bacteria; Pseudomonadati; Pseudomonadota; Gammaproteobacteria; Enterobacterales; Enterobacteriaceae. The record is from RNAcentral.
CCUACGGGUGCAGCAGUGGGGAAUAUUGCACAAUGGGCGCAAGCCUGAUGCAGCCAUGCCGCGUGUGUGAAGAAGGCCUUCGGGGUGUAAAGCACUUUCAGCGGGGAGGAAGGCGUUAAGGUUAAUAACCUUGUCGAUUGACGUUACCCGCAGAAGAAGCACCGGCUAACUCCGUGCCAGCAGCCGCGGUCAUACGGAGGGUGCAAGCGUUAAUCGGAAUUACUGGGCGUAAAGCGCACGCAGGCGGUCUGUCAAGUCGGAUGUGAAAUCCCCGGGCUCAACCUGGGAACUGCAUUCGAAACUGGCAGGCUAGAGUCUUGUAGAGGGGGGUAGAAUUCCAGGUGUAGCGGUGAAAUGCGUAGAGAUCUGGAGGAAUACCGGUGGCGAAGGCGGCCCCCUGGACAAAGACUGACGCUCAGGUGCGAAAGCGUGGGGAGCAAAUAGGAUUAGAUACCCCUGUAGUC